RNAcentral lists this small RNA (180 nucleotides) under Calidris pygmaea (Spoon-billed sandpiper). RNAcentral's name for it is "TUC338 (ENSCPGG00000005736.1)". The record is from RNAcentral. Lineage: Eukaryota; Metazoa; Chordata; Aves; Charadriiformes; Scolopacidae.
AUGACAAGAGUAGAAAGUGAAGCCCUCUGUUUAUCUGCAGAAUUGGUACAGAGGGGCAUUGGCAACGCAAGUUUCUCUUCAUCACCCCAAUCUGCGUGCUGCAGCUGUAACCUUGAGGGAUCACCUUUAGGAAGGAGAGAAGAUGACUUGGUCUUCCUACUCUUUCUAUGCUUAGCCCCU